ACCUGGGUGGCUCAAUCAGUUAAGCAUCUGACUGCAGCUCAGGUCAUGAUCUCACAGUUCGUGGGUUCGAGCCCCACAUCGGGUU
RNAcentral lists this transfer RNA (85 nucleotides) under Felis catus (domestic cat). It matches the Rfam family "tRNA". Rfam says of the family: Transfer RNA (tRNA) molecules are approximately 80 nucleotides in length. Their secondary structure includes four short double-helical elements and three loops (D, anti-codon, and T loops). Further hydrogen bonds mediate the characteristic L-shaped molecular structure. tRNAs have two regions of fundamental functional importance: the anti-codon, which is responsible for specific mRNA codon recognition, and the 3' end, to which the tRNAs corresponding amino acid is attached (by aminoacyl-tRNA synthetases). tRNAs cope with the degeneracy of the genetic code in two manners: having more than one tRNA (with a specific anti-codon) for a particular amino acid; and 'wobble' base-pairing, i.e. permitting non-standard base-pairing at the 3rd anti-codon position. Lineage: Eukaryota; Metazoa; Chordata; Mammalia; Carnivora; Felidae. The record is from Rfam by way of RNAcentral.